Molecule: long non-coding RNA, 1513 nt
Filed under: Homo sapiens (human)
Lineage: Eukaryota; Metazoa; Chordata; Mammalia; Primates; Hominidae
Description: HSALNT0140348
Source: RNAcentral
UUCAUUUAAAAUUCUACUCAUUGUGUAUGGUAUCAAACUAUGAAAAUGUAACAUUUCAAACUAGUGAUUUCUAUCCUACCAAAAUUGCAGUACUUAUUUAGGUUUUGAAGUAGAUAGGAUCAGUGUUAGAGACAGCAUGGUGUAGCAAAAAAGAAAAAAAAGAAAGGAAAGAAAAGAAAAGAAAAUAGAUUGAAAUACCUGUGCUGUAGUUUCUUCUUUUAUUUCGUCAUUCAAUCUGCGAGCGUUUACACAAAGCCUAAUAAUUGUAAGACAAUGAAAUAGAAGGACCCCAGAUGUUUCUAGGUAUUCUUCUUAAGAAAUGCUCAGGCUCCACAGGGUAGGAACACAGAGGCAGACACAUAAUUGAAACGUCAUAAAUGGUAUGACCUUGUGUUCAUUUGUAAUGAAAACAUAUAAGUUUAUGGGAACAUAGAGGAGAGAAAUUCAUCUCAGGAGGGUGUGGAUUAAAAAGGGGCUUAGGGGCCGGGCGUGGUGGCUCAUGCCUGUAAUCCCAGUACUUUGGGAGGCUGAGGCAGGCGGAUCUUGAGGCCAGAAGUUCGAGACCAGCCUGACCAACACAGUGAAACCCCGUAUCUACUAAAAAUACAAAAAUUAGCUGGCGUGGUGGCGCAUGCCUGUAGUCCCAGCUACUCGGGAGGCUGAGACAGGGGAAUCGCUUGAACCUGGAAGACGGCAGUUGCAGUGAGCCAAGAUCGUGCCACUGCACUCCAGCCUGGCAACAUAGCGAGACUCCGUCUCAAAAAGAAAAAAAAAAAAAAAAAACAAAAAAAGCGGGGGGCACUAGGGAAAGCUUCCAAUAAGCAUCAGCACAUGAAUUAAGACUCGAAGUCUUCUCUUACACCAGGGAAUUGAGCCAGUUCAAGGGGGAAAAAAACAUUAGGGAACGGUGCCCCUUUUAAGGAGAUCAAGCAAUUGAUAUUUUCAGAGUUCAACAAGUGGCAAGACAUGAAACAAGACAACGUUGAUCAACUUUGGCUAACUUUAGGAGAAAAAAAAGUGCUGGAAGGGUACAGGAUGGCUCAUAGAGAGUCUUACAGCCCUCAUUAAGGAGCUUGGACUUAAUCCUGAAGAAAACAAUGAACCAUCUGGAAGAUGCUAUGCUCAUAUUUAUAUUUGAAAUCAUUUAUGUGGAUUACUCUACAAAGGGUGGAUUUAAAGGAGACCAUUAGGAGUCUCCUGGCAAUGGGCUGAGGGAAAGAGGUUGGAGAAGAGCUAGGGAGUAUUGGGACAUUAAAUUUGCAAAAAUAGAACGGAAUCAAGGAUACAGGUUAGAGGACACACCAAGACCGCCCCCAAGAAUAAGGAAAACAAAGCUGGUGUGAUGGGGAAGGUGAUGAGGGCUCAAACAUGUGGAGUUUUAGGCACCUAUGGAUUUCCAGGUAGAAAUGACAGAAGAAAACUGCAUACACGAGCCAGCAACUCAGGGAGGAUUCUGGCUGAAGAGAGUCACUAGAAGUUACCAGCAAGCAGCAUAACUGCAUUAGAAGGGCAU